CCGAACCGACCAGAACCAAAGGUGUGUCUGCAAGGCAAGUCGCUCACAAUUUUAACACCCGGUCUAUUCAUUCAUUCAUUCCUUCGAUCAGACAAGCAGACAUAUCCACACGCCUCGUCUUGAACUGUGCUUCAGUCCCGCUAAGGGCCCCCGGCACUCGACCAGACUACAUGUGUUCAAAAAGAUACCACCACCCGAACCGAACCAAACCAGGGGCAUGUUAACCACACCUUUCAUUCGUCCAUUUAUUCAUACAUCCAAUCAUUCACGCAGACAAAGAAAUGUAAGCACACACGCCUGCCCUGCAGUAGUGUGGCCCGGCACAAUGUAGCUGUAGUAGCUGGUACACAGUAUGGC
This 357-nucleotide long non-coding RNA is filed under the name Volvox carteri. RNAcentral's name for it is "long non-coding RNA (VCAR_LNC001601)". The record is from RNAcentral. Lineage: Eukaryota; Viridiplantae; Chlorophyta; Chlorophyceae; Chlamydomonadales; Volvocaceae.